AGACCGAUAGCGAACAAGUACCGGGAGGGGAAAAGAUGAAAAAGAAACUUUUAAAAAGAGAGGUUAAAGAGUACCUGAAACUGCUGAAAGGGAACCGAAUCGUUUCCAGUGUCUAUAAUCCGUGGUAUAUUUCAUUGGCGAGUGUGUGCGUGCGUGUGCUGUGGCAGCGGCUUUUUAGGCUGCGCUCGGCGUGUGUGCUGUGUGUGCUUGCUGGUGCCCUGUACUGCGGUGGGACGUCAAGGUCAGUUCGUAUGCUGCGGGAAAUGGCUGCCGAGGAGGUAGGGCUUACGCUUGCGUUUGUCUGUUAUAUCUUGGUGGACGAGUAGUCGCGGUUGGGACUGAGGUGCCUACAACGUGCUUUUGAGUGGGUUUGUGUCUCCGUGUGCGCCGUGUGCGGAUAGCUUGCUAUGCGUGUGUGGUUGUGUGUGGAUUGAUGCGGGCUUUAACUUGUUGCCCGUUUCGGGGACGUUGACCAAAAUGGAGCGAUUCGACCCGUCUUGAAACACGGACCAAG
This 514-nucleotide ribosomal RNA is filed under the name Phytophthora sp. Its description in RNAcentral is "partial large subunit ribosomal RNA". It matches the Rfam family "Eukaryotic large subunit ribosomal RNA", at positions 331 to 670 of the family's 3401-position model. The record is from RNAcentral. Lineage: Eukaryota; Oomycota; Peronosporomycetes; Peronosporales; Peronosporaceae.